GACGAAGGGGGCAAGCGUUGUUCGGAAUUACUGGGCGUAAAGGGCGCGUAGGCGGCCAUUUUAGUCAGACGUGAAAGGCCUGGGCUCAACCUGGGAAUUGCGUUUGAUACUGAGUGGCUAGAGAGCGGGAGAGGAUGGUGGAAUUCCCAGUGUAGAGGUGAAAUUCGUAGAUAUUGGGAAGAACACCGGUGGCGAAGGCGGCCAUCUGGACCGUAUCUGACGCUGAGGCGCGAAAGCGUGGGGAGCAAACAGG
This 253-nucleotide ribosomal RNA is filed under the name uncultured bacterium. RNAcentral describes it as "partial 16S ribosomal RNA". It matches the Rfam family "Bacterial small subunit ribosomal RNA", at positions 524 to 776 of the family's 1533-position model. The record is from RNAcentral.